AGUAAUGUAUGGGGAUCUGCCUGAUGGCGGGGGAUAACUACUGGAAACGGUAGCUAAUACCGCAUAAUGUCUGCGGACCAAAGCGGGGGACCUUCGGGCCUCUUGCCAUCGGAUGUGCCCAGAUGGGAUUAGCUAGUAGGUGGGGUAACGGCUCACCUAGGCGACGAUCCCUAGCUGGUCUGAGAGGAUGAUCAGCCACACUGGGACUGAGACACGGCCCAG
This 222-nucleotide ribosomal RNA is filed under the name uncultured bacterium. Its description in RNAcentral is "partial 16S ribosomal RNA". It matches the Rfam family "Bacterial small subunit ribosomal RNA", at positions 109 to 334 of the family's 1533-position model. The record is from RNAcentral.